This 302-nucleotide ribosomal RNA is filed under the name uncultured marine eukaryote. RNAcentral's name for it is "SSU rRNA". It matches the Rfam family "Eukaryotic small subunit ribosomal RNA", at positions 610 to 917 of the family's 1831-position model. The record is from RNAcentral.
UUGUUGCGGUUAAAAAGCUCGUAGUUGGAGUUCUGCCAGGUGCCGCCUGCCCGCCCCAGUGGUGAGUACGUGGCGCGCAUUUGGCCCUUUCAAGGGGAGCGUAUCUGCACUUCAUUGUGUGGUGCGGGAUCCUUGACUUUUACUUUGAGGAAAUAGGAGUGUUCCAAGCAGGCUCUCGUCGUGCACAGCUCAGCAUGGAAUAAUAGCAUUGGACCUCGAUUCUAAGCUGUUGGUUGCCAGAAGCGAGGUAAUGAUGAAGAGGGAUAGUUGGGGGCAUUCGUAUUUAACUGUCAGAGUGAAAU